RNAcentral lists this transfer RNA (83 nucleotides) under Parcubacteria bacterium DG_74_1. RNAcentral's name for it is "tRNA-Leu". It matches the Rfam family "tRNA". From Rfam's summary of the family: Transfer RNA (tRNA) molecules are approximately 80 nucleotides in length. Their secondary structure includes four short double-helical elements and three loops (D, anti-codon, and T loops). Lineage: Bacteria; Candidatus Parcubacteria. The record is from RNAcentral. RNAcentral also lists the same sequence under 4 other names.
GGGCGAGUGGUGGAACGGUAGACACGUAGGUUUCAAAAACCUAUGAGAGCAAUCUCGUGAGAGUUCGAUUCUCUCCUCGCCCA